AUUCAGUUGGCGAUUCUCAGAUAGGACGAAACGCGCGUCCUGGAU
This 45-nucleotide non-coding RNA is filed under the name Schistosoma mattheei. Lineage: Eukaryota; Metazoa; Platyhelminthes; Trematoda; Strigeidida; Schistosomatidae. The record is from RNAcentral.